RNAcentral lists this ribosomal RNA (543 nucleotides) under Triticum aestivum (bread wheat). RNAcentral's name for it is "partial small subunit ribosomal RNA". The record is from RNAcentral. Lineage: Eukaryota; Viridiplantae; Streptophyta; Magnoliopsida; Poales; Poaceae.
AUGCAAUCUUAUGAUGAAAAACUUAAUUUGGAAGUUUCUAUACCUAGAAAACUUAAUGAUGAGUGGGAACCUACUAUUAAGAUUAGAAUGAAAGAUUAUGAGUGUUUUGCUUUGUGUGAUUUGGGUGCUAGUGUUUCCACGAUUCCGAAAACUUUAUGUGAUAUUCUAGGUUUCCAUGAUCUUGAUGAUUGCUCUUUAAAUUUGCACCUUGCAGAUUCCACCAUUAAAAAGCCUAUGGGGAGGAUCAAUGAUGUUCUUAUUGUUGCAAAUAGAAAUUUGGUGCCCGUAGAUUUUAUCGUUCUUGAUAAAGGUUGCAAUCUUUCUUGCCCUAUUAUUCUUGGUAGACCUUUCCUUAGAACGAUUAGUGCGAUUAUUGACAUGAAGGAAGGGAAUAUUAGAUUCCAUUUUCCAUUAAAGAAAGGAAUGGAGCACUUUCCAAAAAGAAAGUCAAAUUACCUUAUGAAUCUAUCAUGCGUGCUACUUAUGAAUUUAGUGCCAAAGAGGGCACUCAUUAGAUCUAUCUUCGCUUUUAUGCCUAGCUAG